AGUAGGGUCAGCUAAAUAUAAAGCUAUCGGGCCCAUACCCCGAAAAUGAUGGUUUAACCCCUUCCUCUACUA
RNAcentral lists this transfer RNA (72 nucleotides) under Falco columbarius. RNAcentral's name for it is "tRNA-Met". It matches the Rfam family "tRNA". Rfam says of the family: Transfer RNA (tRNA) molecules are approximately 80 nucleotides in length. Lineage: Eukaryota; Metazoa; Chordata; Aves; Falconiformes; Falconidae. The record is from RNAcentral.